UACGGAGGGGGCUAGCGUUGUUCGGAAUUACUGGGCGUAAAGGGCUCGUAGGCGGCCAACUAAGUCGGAUGUGAAAUCCCCAGGCUUAACCUGGGAACUGCAUCCGAUACUGGAUGGCUUGAAUCCGGGAGAGGGAUGCAGAAUUCCAGGUGUAGCGGUGAAAUGCGUAGAUAUCUGGAGGAAUACCGGUGGCGAAGGCGGCAUCCUGGACCGGCAUUGACGCUGAGGCGCGAAAGCUAGGGGAGCAAACGGG
Molecule: ribosomal RNA, 253 nt
Filed under: uncultured bacterium
Lineage: Bacteria
Description: partial 16S ribosomal RNA
Rfam family: Bacterial small subunit ribosomal RNA
Source: RNAcentral